Acanthopagrus latus (yellowfin seabream) is the source of this 479-nucleotide long non-coding RNA. RefSeq lists it as uncharacterized. The record is from RefSeq and is a predicted model, not a curated record. The transcript is spliced from 4 exons. Lineage: Eukaryota; Metazoa; Chordata; Actinopteri; Spariformes; Sparidae.
AGCGUCUCAGUUCAUGGAUAAGAAGUUUCUCAUCAUCCAUCCAACAGCUGACGCGAAAUUCAUCUCCCAGCUCAUCAAUGAAAAGGCCAACUACACCUUACAGAUUCUGGACCAGUAAUCCAACUCACCGGCUGGCCUAUAGAGUCCCCUCUCUCUCCUUUUGGUCCAGUCAGACCUGGACGACCCUGAACAGACACACAUCAUCCAGAAGCAUCUCAGUUAAAAACAACAACAACAAGGCUUCUUAGACUGGAUUUAACUUCGAUGAUGUCAACACACUUAGUAUCCUCUGGUCGAAGGACUAAGAACUAACAUCGGGAAGCAUCAGCGUGUCUGGGAAGUUCUUACCGGUCUUCCAGGAAAACCAAAUUCUCCUUUGGGUCCUGGUGGUCCGAUAGGUCCCUGUUAGGAAAAAAGAUAAAGCCCGGGAACCCUGGUGGUCCUGCAGCACCUGGCUCCCCCUGCAGAGACACAGAGAG